UACGUAGGGGGCAAGCGUUGUCCGGAUUUAUUGGGCGUAAAGAGCGUGUAGGCGGCUUUACAGGUCCGUUGUGAAAACUCGAGGCUCAACCUCGAGACGCCGGUGGAAACCGUAAAGCUAGAGUCCGGAAGAGGAGAGUGGAAUUCCUGGUGUAGCGGUGAAAUGCGCAGAUAUCAGGAGGAACACCGGUGGCGAAGGCGGGUCUCUGGGCAGUAACUGACGCUGAGGAGCGAAAGCGUGGGGAGCGAACAGG
RNAcentral lists this ribosomal RNA (253 nucleotides) under uncultured bacterium. RNAcentral's name for it is "partial 16S ribosomal RNA". It matches the Rfam family "Bacterial small subunit ribosomal RNA", at positions 524 to 776 of the family's 1533-position model. The record is from RNAcentral.